RNAcentral lists this unclassified non-coding RNA (392 nucleotides) under soil metagenome. RNAcentral describes it as "partial contains 5.8S ribosomal RNA, internal transcribed spacer 2, and large subunit ribosomal RNA". The stretch from base 1 to 122 matches the Rfam family "5.8S ribosomal RNA", at positions 35 to 154 of the family's 154-position model. The record is from RNAcentral.
GAUGAAGAACGUAGCGAAAUGCGAUACUUGGUGUGAAUUGCAGAAUCCCGUGAACCAUCGAGUCUUUGAACGCAAGUUGCGCCCGAAGCCAUCAGGUUGAGGGCACGUCUGCCUGGGCGUCACAUAUCGUUGCUCGAUGCCUAUCGCAUUGCGAUAGGACUUAGGGCGAAUGAUGGCUUCCCGUGAGCGUUGUUGCCUUGCGGUUGGUUGAAAAUCGAGUCCUUGGUAGGGUGUGCCAUGAUAGAUGGUGGUCGAGUUAGAACGAGACCGAUCAUGUGCAUGCUCCCCAAAAUAUGGCCUCUGUGACCCACACGCGUCUUUUGACGCUCAUGACGAGACCUCAGGUCAGGCGGGGCUACCCGCUGAAUUUAAGCAUAUCAAUAAGCGGAGGA